UGUUCAACAUCUAGUAUCCAUUGUUUACAGCUAGGACUACUGGGGUAUCUAAUCCCAUUUGCUACCCUAGCUUUCGUCUCUGAGUGUCAGUAAUAGCCCAGUAAAGUGCCUUCGCCAUCGGUGUUCUUUCCAAUCUCUACGCAUUUCACCGCUCCACUGGAAAUUCCCUUUACCCCUACUAUACUCUAGUCUGAUAGUUUCGACUGCGGUUUUGAAGUUGAGCUUCAAGAUUUAACAGUUGACUUAUCAAACAACCUACAGACGCUUUACGCCCAGUGAUUCCGGAUAACACUUGCAUCCUCCGUAUUACCGCGGCUGCUGGCACGGAGUUAGCCGAUGCUUAUUCUUCAGGUACACGUCAUUUAUUCCUCCCUGAAAAAAGAGGUUUACAACCCAUAGGCAGUCAUCCCUCACGCGAGAUUGCUCCGUCAGGCUUUCGCCCAUUGCGGAAAAUUCCCUACUGCUGCCUCCCGUAGGAGUCUGGGCCGUGUCUCAGUCCCAGUGUGGCUGAUCAUCCUCUCAAACCAGCUACUGAUCGUCGCCUUGGUAGGCCUUUACCCUACCAACUAGCUAAUCAGACGCGAGCUCCUCCUUAGGCGGAUAAAUCCUUUCACCUCUCGGCGUAUGGAGUAUUAGCAACCGUUUCCAGCUGUUAUCCUCCUCCUAAGGGCAGAUUCUCACGUGUUACUCACCCGUCCGCCACUAGAGCUAAAAGCUCUCGUACGACUUGCAUGUAUUAAGCAUACCGCCAGCGUUCAUCCUGAGCCAGGAUCAAACUCU
This 780-nucleotide ribosomal RNA is filed under the name uncultured bacterium. Its description in RNAcentral is "partial 16S ribosomal RNA". The record is from RNAcentral.